RNAcentral lists this unclassified non-coding RNA (333 nucleotides) under soil metagenome. Its description in RNAcentral is "partial contains 5.8S ribosomal RNA, internal transcribed spacer 2, and large subunit ribosomal RNA". The stretch from base 1 to 120 matches the Rfam family "5.8S ribosomal RNA", at positions 35 to 154 of the family's 154-position model. The record is from RNAcentral.
GAUGAAGAACGUAGCGAAAUGCGAUAAGUAAUGUGAAUUGCAGAAUUCAGUGAAUCAUCGAAUCUUUGAACGCACAUUGCGCCCCCUGGUAUUCCGGGGGGCAUGCCUGUUCGAGCGUCAUUUCACCACUCAAGCCUCGCUUGGUAUUGGGCGACGCGGUCCGCCGCGCGCCUCAAAUCGACCGGCUGGGUCGAUCGCACCCUCAGCGUUGUGGAAACUAUUCGCUAAAGGAGUUGUGGUCGGUCACGCCGUGAAACAAACCAAUCUUUCAAUGGUUGACCUCGGAUCAGGUAGGGAUACCCGCUGAACUUAAGCAUAUCAAUAAGCGGAGGA